GGACUACUGGGGUAUCUAAUCCUGUUUGCUCCCCACGCUUUCGCACCUCAGCGUCAGUAUCGAGCCAGUGAGCCGCCUUCGCCACUGGUGUUCCUCCGAAUAUCUACGAAUUUCACCUCUACACUAGGAAUUCCACUCACCUCUUCCGGACUCUAGACUUGCAGUAUCAAAGGCAGUUCCGAGGUUGAGCCCCGGGAUUUCACCCCUGACUAACAAAUCCGCCUACGUGCGCUUUACGCCCAGUAAUUCCGAACAACGCUAGCCCCCUUCGUAUUACCGCGGCGGCUGGCACCA
Molecule: unclassified non-coding RNA, 294 nt
Filed under: uncultured fungus
Lineage: Eukaryota; Fungi
Description: sequence contains ITS1
Source: RNAcentral